CAGCCGCCACGGUAAUACGUAGGUGGCAAGCGUUGUCCGGAAUUAUUGGGCGUAAAGGGCUCGCAGGCGGUUUCUUAAGUCUGAUGUGAAAGCCCCCGGCUCAACCGGGGAGGGUCAUUGGAAACUGGGAAACUUGAGUGCAGAAGAGGAGAGUGGAAUUCCACGUGUAGCGGUGAGAUGCGUAGAGAUGUGGAGGAACACCAGUGGCGAAGGCGACUCUCUGGUCUGUAACUGACGCUGAGGCACGAAAGCGUGGGGAGCAAACAGGAUUAGAUACUCGGGUAGUCCCUGUCUCUUAUAC
Molecule: ribosomal RNA, 301 nt
Filed under: uncultured bacterium
Lineage: Bacteria
Description: partial 16S ribosomal RNA
Rfam family: Bacterial small subunit ribosomal RNA
Source: RNAcentral